Mesoplodon densirostris (Blainville's beaked whale) is the source of this 551-nucleotide long non-coding RNA. RefSeq lists it as uncharacterized. The transcript is spliced from 3 exons. The record is from RefSeq and is a predicted model, not a curated record. NCBI's taxonomy places the organism in Eukaryota, Metazoa, Chordata, Mammalia, Artiodactyla, Ziphiidae.
AGGGGCGCCCGCGUCGGCUUCCGGCCGCCUUCCACAGCAGCUGUCCGGACCCCGCUCCGGCCGCCGGCGCCCAGGUGUGGGAGGGGGCGCGGGGCGGAGGACGGCGGGGGAGGGGCUCACCUUUCUGGCCGCUGAGCGCCGCGUACCAGGAGAGCGAGAGGAAGGCGCACAGGCAGAAGAGCAGCAGCGUCAGGAAGGCGCCAUUGCGGAGCCUCAUCUCCUCAGAGGAUCUGGGCACCUCUGGGACCACUGAAAGCAACUUCCCCGUGGGUGACAAGAGGUCGCCUGAACCUCACCUCGUCACCGCAUUUGAGUUGCUGGGAAAGCACUUGGAGGUGGCCAGUCCUUCCAUGCAUCUUCACGGAGCUUAACCUGUGGUCCAAGGAUCCAGAAUUGGUGCCAUCCAAGAGCUGAGAAGAAAAAUCCUUCAUUUUCACUAACCUCUAACUGAAACUUGGAAUUUCCUUCAAUUAUGAAUGGAGACAGCAAAGUCCAUCAGAAUUAGCAGCGUUUGCGACUGUCAAACAGAAAUCACAGGUAUUUUCAUACUA